RNAcentral lists this ribosomal RNA (441 nucleotides) under uncultured bacterium. RNAcentral describes it as "bacterial SSU rRNA". It matches the Rfam family "Bacterial small subunit ribosomal RNA", at positions 340 to 773 of the family's 1533-position model. The record is from RNAcentral.
UACGGAAGGCAGCAGUGGGGAAUAUUGCACAAUGGGCGCAAGCCUGAUGCAGCCAUGCCGCGUGUAUGAAGAAGGCCUUCGGGUUGUAAAGUACUUUCAGUCGUGAGGAAGGUGUUAAGGUUAAUAACCUUAGCAAUUGACGUUAGCGACAGAAGAAGCACCGGCUAACUCCGUGCCAGCAGCCGCGGUAAUACGGAGGGUGCGAGCGUUAAUCGGAAUUACUGGGCGUAAAGGGCACGCAGGCGGUUAAUUAAGUUGGAUGUGAAAUCCCCGGGCUUAACCUGGGAAUGGCAUUCAAGACUGGUUAGCUAGAGUCUUGUAGAGGGGGUUAGAAUUCCAUGUGUAGCGGUGAAAUGCGUAGAGAUGUGGAGGAAUACCGGUGGCGAAGGCGGCCCCUGGGACAAAGACUGACGCUCAUGUGCGAAAGCGUGGGGAGCAAAC